UAAGGAAUAUUGGUCAAUGGACGCAAGUCUGAACCAGCCAUGCCGCGUGGAGGAUGAAGGUCCUCUGGAUUGUAAACUUCUUUUAUUUGGGAAGAAAUGCAUCUUUUCUAAGGUGUUUGACGGUACCAGAUGAAUAAGCACCGGCUAACUCCGUGCCAGCAGCCGCGGUAAUACGGAGGGUGCAAGCGUUAUCCGGAUUCACUGGGUUUAAAGGGUGCGUAGGUGGGCAGUUAAGUCAGUGGUGAAAUCUCCGGGCUCAACCCGGAAACUGCCAUUGAUACUAUCUGUCUUGAAUAUCGUUGAGGUAAGCGGAAUAUGUCAUGUAGCGGUGAAAUGCUUAGAUAUGACAUAGAACACCAAUUGCGAAGGCAGCUUGCUAACCGAAUAUUGACACUGAGGCACGAAAGCGUGGGGAUCAAACAGG
This 424-nucleotide ribosomal RNA is filed under the name uncultured bacterium. Its description in RNAcentral is "bacterial SSU rRNA". It matches the Rfam family "Bacterial small subunit ribosomal RNA", at positions 355 to 776 of the family's 1533-position model. The record is from RNAcentral.